ACGGAGGAUCCGAGCGUUAUCCGGAUUUAUUGGGUUUAAAGGGUGCGUAGGCGGUUCAAUAAGUCAGUGGUGAAAGUUUUCGGCUUAACCGGAAAAUUGCCGUUGAUACUGUUGGGCUUGAAUUUGGUUGCUGUGAGUGGAAUGUGUGGUGUAGCGGUGAAAUGCUUAGAUAUCACACAGAAUAUCGAUUGCGAAGGCAUCUCACAAAGCCAAUAUUGACGCUGAUGCACGAAAGUGUGGGGAUCAAACAG
This 251-nucleotide ribosomal RNA is filed under the name uncultured prokaryote. RNAcentral's name for it is "partial 16S rRNA". It matches the Rfam family "Bacterial small subunit ribosomal RNA", at positions 525 to 775 of the family's 1533-position model. The record is from RNAcentral.